GAGAAAGAAUAAGGAAAACUAAGGAGGAUCUGUAUAUGCAUUGGAAAUAUUGGGAAAGAAGGAACUAUAUUCUGUCCGGAAAAUUUACGUACAGGAAAAAAAAUGUCUAACCCCCCCCCAUACGCACGAGAAAUGACUCGUUCAAUCAACCCCCUCCCAAUAAAAUAGGGCUAGCGAUCCACCCGUUAGUACACAUGAAGCCAAAAUGAAUAUGUUUUGUUGUGACUUUUACUGGUAUGACUUUCUUUAGAAUAUUCACGCUUUUAUAGUGUCUUAGUGUUCACAUUUGUGUAGUCAACCAGUCACACAUAACCUGUUCCUAUAUGCCUUCGACAGGGAUUAUUCUAAGCGGAAAAUUUAUCACUGCACAAAAGCGCAAAAAAUGAUAAAAUGUAUAUAAAUUUAGCGACAUUUUAGAAAACGUUCUGACUGCCCUGCAUGAGUGCAUGUACUCUGAUUCUGCAACUUAAAGUUUACCCCAUGCAUGUCACUAAUUAUAUGCAGGCAAAUGAGCCAAAAUCACCGUCCCAGGGCCUCUUUUAACAUAUAGACUGGGGGGACAUGCCCCCCCAGUCCCCUUUACUGGCCCCUCCAGU
Non-coding RNA from Paramuricea clavata, 596 nucleotides. The record is from the annotation of a GenBank genome assembly. Lineage: Eukaryota; Metazoa; Cnidaria; Anthozoa; Malacalcyonacea; Plexauridae.